Long non-coding RNA from Passer domesticus (house sparrow), 4170 nucleotides. RefSeq lists it as uncharacterized. Lineage: Eukaryota; Metazoa; Chordata; Aves; Passeriformes; Passeridae. The transcript has 2 exons. The record is from RefSeq and is a predicted model, not a curated record.
AUUUGGCUGACAUAAUCAGGUGUCAAGCAAGACACCUGUCACUCAUUCAUGGGUGGGAAUAUGGAUUGAUCUGAAAAAAGCAAACACCUGUGAAGGGGGUGUGAGCUGCUGAGGGUACGAGGAGGGGCUCUGAGGCAUGAGUCACUUUCAGACCCUUAAGGUUAAAAACCUGCAGGACAAAAUGUGGGGGUAUUUCAUGUGAGCUGUUGAUGUGAUGAUGAUCCUUGGCAAGAAGUUGCAUGUUGAGGCCUGAGGUCUGCCAGGAAGAGGCACAGCAGUGUAUGCACUCUUGCUGUCUGCCUAUCCCAAGGAACACCUACCAAACACCCCUAAGAGAAGGGACACACAGCAUCAAUUCAGCUGGAAAAGACCUGAGAUCAUUGAAUUCAACCUUUGACCACCUUGCCAGCUAGACCAUGGCACUCAGUGCCACAUUCAGCCAUUUCUUGAACAUACCUGGAGCUUGAAACCCUUCAAAGCAGGGAGUGAGUGCCCUGGCUGCUCCUGUGUUCCUGGGUGAAAGAUGGGUGUCCUCACCUCUCCUGGGUAAUGGGAGUCCCACAUGGUGAGUGUCCCUCAGAAACAGUCUCUGCUUUGUGUGGAAGAGAUUUCCUGAACCCUUCUAAGCACAGGCUGUGGGGUGCUGGGUGCUGACUCCUGCUUCUCGGUCCUGAAACUGGCUGUGAGCCUGAGCAUCUUCCUGUGCUGCCCCUGAUGUGGUUAAAGCCCUGGAGCAGAUGCCCCUGUCCUGGCAGGAACCAGGAAAUGUUGUCCAGGGUGGUGAUUCCUGCUCUGGUCCGUGGAGAUGAGGACAUGAGUGGCCACUUUCUCUGCAGGCCACGGUCAAGUCUUUCAUCCUGGUUUUGUUUUCAGUGCUGACAUUCACACAGAUUCUAAUUUCUGCUGCCAGCGUGGCAAAAGUCUUGCAGGCACCUCUCCAAGCACGUCCUUGCUCUUGCCUCAUCUUGUGUGGAUCAAUAGGCUGCUCGGGGUGUGCUGCUCACUGUAGCCUUGCUGCUGUCACUGGGGACCCACCCAUGCCCACCCUCUGCAGUGGAAGGAAGGCAACCAGAUGUUCCUCAUGGGCUCAGGAGACAGGAACAUGGAAACAAAGCUUGGCCAUUGUUCACGUCUCGUACUGCUGGUGUGCUCUGCUGGGCCAAGGAAUGCUGCUAAAGCACAGCAGGACCAAGGGCCUUGCAGCACUAUUGUGCUGGGACUUCACUAACCAGGCCCAGAGAAAUCCUGCUGUGGGCUCAGUGGGAAAUGGAUGGACAUCUUCCACAGCAGACAUUAGCUUUUGACUGGGAUGUGCAUGUUAAUGAGAUGCAAGGGUAUCACAGCCCAGGUCUGAAUGUUUUCUGAGGUUUUUCUGAAGACCCUUAGCACCCUGUGCCAAGAAAAUGCUCCAAGGAAGGCUGUAUUCAUCGUGUCUGGUGCUUCCAGCCAGAAGAACGGAAGGAGGAUAUGAAAAUGAGUAAUUAUUUUUAAGUUAUCCAGAUGCACUUGCUGACCUUUCUUUUGUGCACCCUGAACUGGUUUCCAUCAUCCUUGCUGUAGUUUCUCAAAAUCUUGGAGAAAAUGAAUUUUCAAAGGAUGAGGGGAGGAGAAAGCAGUGAAGUCAGAUGCUAAUUUCACAACAUGUGAAAUAUCUUCUUUAACUGACAGAGCACCAGCCUCUUUCUCUUGGUGUUCUUGCCCAUGGUGAUGAAGCUUUGCAGGGCAGCAAUGGGGAGCAGCUACUGGGGCAGAGAUGGGCAUUAUCCUGCUCCCAGCCACUGUUCCUGGCUGCAGCAUGCUGAGAUCCUGGCUCCACUGCCUGUUUAUGAAAGAAAAAUGUCUGCUUUUUUUUUUUUCCCCAAACUGUUCCUGUUCCCCAGAAAAGUGGAUUUUAUGCCCUUCCCAAGUUUUUAAUGAGUAGGUUUUUAGUGCUGGUUCAGACUGCUGUCCCUUCCCCUGCAGAGGGGAGCAGUGCUGGCCUGGAGCUGUGCUCUGGGCUGGGAGCAGCGCUGCUGGAGGGGUCUUUGGUCAGGCCAGCUGCUGGAGGGAUGAGCCAUCCUCCCUGGAGCUGAGGGAAGGCACAGAAUCAGGGGCAGCUCUGCACAGCUCCUGCAGGCACCUGGCAGGCUUCAGUGUGUCUGGGCUGCGGGGACUUGUCCAGAGAGAGCAGCAGGACUCUGCUCCCGUAGAGAACUGCUCCAGGCUGGGGGCUGCUGCAAAUGACUGCCCCACCCUCUGUGUCUGUGAGUGGCUUUCUUCAGAGAUGGCACUUGAGGGAGUGAACUUUUUGUCUGUCCCCACUUCAACCUCCAGCCAGCUUUCCAGCUCCGUGUCAGGCACGGGACUCCUUUAGCACACAGUGUUCAUUCGCAGCGAAGCCUCUGGCAGCUGUUUUCCUUGGAUGCAUUCCCUAGAUCAAGAGUCAGCACAUGUUCACUACGAGACCUAUUUGGUAAAUGGGCUGAGAACAGAGAUAAUCUUAGACUAGUUUGGUUUGCUGAGGAGCACUGACACAGCUCAGUUUGUGCUUGAAUGCUAAUUUAGAGCUGGAGUCUGUGCUGGGUUCAGCCGUGCAGCUCCUGAUCACAUCAUUGUCACAUGAACUCGUGCACAUAUCUGGUAGAUUGCCUGUUGUCUGUGUUAGGAUGUUGUACCAUGGAUAGGGAGGAGGAAUGGAAGAAAUUCAGUCAUUCAUAAAAAUGAAUAAAUGAAUCUUUGUUUAAUAUGUAAUCCAAGAUCGUUUUACCUACAUCUUGCUUGUUUGUCCUAGAGAGACCUUUGUGCCCAUCUCCCCUGGGGGCUCUUGCCCUUUUCCCAAAGCCUGUUUUUAUGAAGAGCUCUGGAUCUUCUGAAUGCAUUCACUGUGUAAAAGGUACUGGGGAGUCAGUUUAUCCCCCCUCCUGUACAGGUGUCCCCUUUACCCAAAGCCAGGCCAUCCCUGUUGGAAUAUUGCGGCUGAGCUGCUCUGGAUGCUUUCACCAGCAGCUGUUUAAAUCACUAUCAACAGAAUUCUGCUUUGCCUUGCUCAAAAGAUCACAUUAGGUGAUUUAACCUGAUAUUCUGGGUUUAGCAGGCAGAUUAGUGGCUGUUAAAAUGCAAAGUCAUAUGCCAUUGAUAAUCUAUGACCAGCAGUGGAUCCCGGGUAAUUGUCACUUAGUCAACAGAACAAGUCAGGUGCAGCACACGGGUGCUGGAACACAUGCCCUGCACAGAUCCUGCUCCUUUCCAGAGCUUUCAGAGGGCACUGCUUGAUGUGUUUCUGGCUGUGAUGGAGGCAGUGGUGGUGUUACUCAAACUGAGCUCUGCCUGGCCUGUUUGGGACCUAGCCCUUGGUGUGAAGCAGUGUAGUGAUACCGUCCCAAAAGCCCUUCUCUUUCUUGUGGUUCUGAUAUAAAUUCAUUUUUCAGAGCACUGCAGCUGCCAGUUAAAUCAAUUAAGGCAAAUCGCCUGUAUCUUAAGGAAGAGCUGAGUGUGAAGUGGAGGAGAAGGGAGGUUCUGUGCAGGAUCAUGACCCCCAUGCCCAGGGCUUGUGCUGGCUGGGGCGGUCAGGCUGGCGGUGCCACAAAGCAUCCCCCAAGCCUUUGGCCUCUGGAAACAGCUGCACAUUGCCAGGCACAGUUCUAAAGCUCCCUGCAGGAGUCACUCAGGGAAAAUCCAGCUCGAGAAGGCUUAUAAAAAGGAAAAGGAUCUGUGCCUCAACACCCACACAGUGCUUUGUGCCUUCACCAGCUCUAAUAGCAGGGGAUUGGGCAUCCCAUCUAGGCCUGGCUCAGCCCUGUGCUGCCUGGGAUUUGUGGGUGCUAAUAGCUGCAAUCCAGUGCUCCUGUGCUAGCAGAGAUACAGCAUGAAGGCAUGUUGUCCUUGCCAUGUGCUAUUCGUGGGGAAGAAUAAUCCAUAAAUCAAGAUAUUACAAGGCUAUUUAGUGAUUCUUCUACUGUUAUACAUGUGUCAACAACAAAUAAAAGAAGCAUUUGAUGGCGUUAGUCCAUGUGCCAGGAAAUCCUCCUGGUUCCUUUCCUUACCUAAGGAAGGGGGGACCUAAGGCUAUUUGGCUGAGCAGGCUGUGCUGCGAUGCUCCUGCACAGGCAGUGUGUUCUUCCUGAGCUCUGCCAAGAAUUUGCUUGUCACAGAGAUGUGUAAUGUGAUUGCAGUGGAAAAUACAUGCAAAUG